Long non-coding RNA from Strigops habroptila (Kakapo), 1799 nucleotides. RefSeq lists it as uncharacterized. The transcript has 2 exons. The record is from RefSeq and is a predicted model, not a curated record. NCBI's taxonomy places the organism in Eukaryota, Metazoa, Chordata, Aves, Psittaciformes, Psittacidae.
UAGCAUCAGUUGGAGUGUGGUUCUGCUUACGGUGCUUCUGCACUUACAUCCCGCCAGUGCCAUUUCCUCUGCCUUCAAGCAGGGCAAUAACUCAGAGCCUUGGCACAUACCAGCACUCAGUGAGGUCCUCAACAGGAUGGGGAACUCAAUGCAUGCCCCACAAUGGGCAUAAAAAUGGAAGAAAAACAGCAUUGCCUUCAGUCUGCAAAGCAUAUACCCAGCAGAAAGCCGUCUGGGAACUGCCUUCCCACGGGGAAGCACCCAAAUCCUUACCCUUUUAGCUCUGAAGGGGCUGUAUCUGCUCUACAGAGACAGUUUUUGAUGGGCUUUUAGUAAAUAAGUGGGGUCCCCCCUAGCCAGCCUGUUCCCCCUUCCUCUUAUGGUGGGAGCUGGCACCCACCGCAAGAGCUGCAGCGACUGGAGCAGGCAGAUAGGCACAACGCCAAGUCAAGAUGCCUUUUGGUUGACCUAGGAAGAGUAAAAAUGUUGAGUAUGGAAAAAAAAAAGACCUACUUGGAGGAAGUUAUGAAAAUCACAUAAAUAAGUCUGUGAACUUGGCCACUGUACAGCGGCGGUGCUGGAAAUAGCUGCAAAAACCAGGCUGAGUCAUGGUGAGCAAAGCUUUAGAGAGCUGUGGCUUCUGCUGAAGCGUGAGGAGCAGGGUGAGAGGAGGAAGGUGAUGCCACAGCUCAUGGCGAGGGCUCGUUCUGUCUUGGGGAAGUCGCCUCCUUUAGCAUCUCGCACGUUUGAAGGUCAUCUUGCAGUUCUUGGCUUGGUAUUACAAGGGCUCAAAAGGUGUUUGCUUGAGCUUGGAAAAGAAAAACCAUAAACAAAUGAAACACAGUCUCCACAGGAAAUUUUGACAUAAGUUCUGUGACUCAACCUAUUGAUUAGCAGUAUUAUUUCUUGAUACAUGGUUUGUAGCCAGAAGAGGCGUGGGAUGAAGCCAGAGCUGGGAAACCUCCCCAUUGGAAGCAGGGAUGUGGAUGCUCCUGGAGCAGCAGUUGAUGGGCUGCACACCCGGCAGCUCUGGGCAAUGGCCAUUGGGAAGCUCUCACCAUGCAGCGGCUGUUGGGUGUCUGUUGUGACAAGAGGACAACACAGGGAAAAGUGGAAGAAAGUCGUUUGAGUUAGUCCUGAUCCUGCACCCAGGCUCUCAGCCAUGUGCUUUGCAACCGGAAAAGACUAAGAUCUUAAUUCUGGCAUUUCUCAUGCGUUCUGCAGCCAGAACACGGCCCGUGCCUGCUCUGCGUGGGAGCUUUGGGAAUGCUGGUGUGCUGGCUGUGUGGUUUUAGGUCACUUCCAGAGAAGCGGAUUCAUUCGGAUGGAACCAGCCAGCUGGCUCAGCACGCAGCCAUGUUGUGAGGGAGUGAAGGACAGUUUCCACCUUACAUCACGUCGCUGUCGAAGGGCUUGACCUUGUUUGUGUCUGUUACUGCUGGAUUUAUCUUCACCGACAUUCAGACUCUGACCCUACGAAGGUCGUUAUCAGAUAUUUCUGGAUUUCAGUGGCCAAAUGACCAAAAACAGGAAUCCCAGCAAGGGCUUCCCCUGCCCAAUGCAAAAUAAAGACCAACCUCAGCUGAACUAACUCAUCCCACUUCAAUCCCUUUCUUCAGGAGGACUCUUCACCUUCUUGGAACCACCUGGUUCAUUAGAAAUUGGCUUUCGAAUGUAUCAGGAAUGUAGACCUCAAAUUCCCACAGGCACAUGUGGGCAUGGUGGAAUGAAUGUGUAUAUUGUAUCUCAACAAUCUAGUCUUCUGGGGUUGUCAGACUUAUUGAAGGAGGUUUGAAACA